UACGUAGGGGGCAAGCGUUGUCCGGAUUUAUUGGGCGUAAAGAGCGUGUAGGCGGUCAGAUAGGUCCGUUGUGAAAACUCGAGGCUCAACCUGGGGACGCCACCCGAUACUGCUAUAGCUAGAGUCCAGUAGGGGAGUGUGGAAUUCCCAGUGUAGCGGUGAAAUGCGCAGAUAUUGGGAGGAACACCAGCGGCGAAGGCGGCACUCUGGGCUGGUACUGACGCUGAGGAGCGAAAGCGUGGGUAGCGAACAGG
RNAcentral lists this ribosomal RNA (254 nucleotides) under uncultured bacterium. RNAcentral describes it as "partial 16S ribosomal RNA". It matches the Rfam family "Bacterial small subunit ribosomal RNA", at positions 524 to 776 of the family's 1533-position model. The record is from RNAcentral.